RNAcentral lists this long non-coding RNA (2515 nucleotides) under Acanthaster planci (crown-of-thorns starfish). RNAcentral describes it as "uncharacterized LOC110990458". The record is from RNAcentral. Lineage: Eukaryota; Metazoa; Echinodermata; Asteroidea; Valvatida; Acanthasteridae.
CCCCCUAGUCUACCCAUCCUAAAGUUGCAUUGUGCCCCUCAUAAUUGUUUACUUGAUGAUGACUCAUGCAACUGGGCAGGCACUGUGGGCAUGCUUUGAGCCCAAGUCUCAGUAAACAGGUUGGCAGUCGGUGAAGUAACAUACCUAUUAAAUACCAGUCAAGUUCUGCCCUGAAAGCUCAGACCUUCGGUGGACUUGAUAAUGACUUUCUGAAAAGCAUGUCUUGUGUAAGUUCAAUUAGUUUUCACUGUAGAUGUCGAUAUGAUCAAUCAUUACGUAUUGAGCUCAUUUUGAGAACACGAAGAGUCAUUGUUUCGUUAUGAGUGCCUUGUUUAGGCUUACUGGUGACUUUUAAAUUGUCCUUGCUGUCGUUUACACAUGUCAAUGCACAAAUCGAUUACUUUUUCAUACCACUACAAGUUUUCAUUACACACAGACUCAGUUUGAAAUGUGAGUUUCAACUUCUGGGAGAAAGUGUGCAGAAAAUAUAUCCUCUUUUCAAUCAGAAAAUUGUUAAUUCUCAUUUUAUUUUAAAAAAAAGUCUUUUCAUCUUUUUGUUCGGUGCGUCAGUACCAUUUGCGAUGUGUGAAACAUUAUGGCUGUCUGUAUUUUUAAUGAAUAUGGUUUUCGUAGUUGGGUUUGAAACCAGAAUAUUUACUUUGUAGUGGGUGUAGUUUUAUGGUACAUAGUGAGCAUGAUGUCGCACCGGGGAACAAGUAUUGCUAUAUUACAAGAGCAACUGAAGACAGGAGACAAGUGAACAGUUAUCUGGACGCAUCACCUAUCGGACGAGUGGUCUGGGACAUUUAACAGCGUACAGAUGCAUGGCUGCCCCAGAUCUUCUUUUGCGGGGAUCAUGAAUGUGGAUUUAUUCUCCGUAAUGUCGAAACUGGCAAGUAUUAAGUAAUUUCACCCACUACAUAAAAUGACAAACUAUUUGCCACACUGUUUACCAUCAACUGCCGGGAUGCGGCCAGCUUAACCCGCGAGCUGAUAAAGGUAAAGGACAUGCAGGAACAUUUACGGCAUCAACGACCGACAAUGAAUGGAUGGUGACGCUGACCAGUGCGGUGUACGUGAAUAAAAUGCCACAAUUUUGCAUUGACACCCCGCCUCAUGACAUGGCUGACUUUAUCAAGAAUGAUGGGACGCGCAUAAUCUCACCCACAACCCCUACACGUGGCAGAGGUCUGGAUUUGAUAGUGGUAUCUAACCAAAAUAAAGUGUUCUCUUCUCGCAACAUCUCAAUUGGGUUUAGUGACCAUAAUAUUGUGUAUAUGGUCUGCAAAGCCCGUGAACCAACAAUUAGAAAAUCGCGGACUCUCCGCAAAUUUGAUGUUGAUCAUUUUAACUACUAUCUCAGAAAAGUCAAUUGGGAAAUGAUAUGUCGACUAAAUAACUCUGAUAUGUAUGGGCUGCUUUUAAACAAGUUCAUUGAAAUUGCGGAUCAGCAUGCCCCUGGAUGGAAAUUCUAUCAAGGGCAAUUUACCUUCACUGUUCAAACUGGAAAUUCUUUGUCCAAACACUAUGAUUUCUGUAAAAGAGUUACCCAGAAGAGUGGUACAUCUUGGGAUUGGGAAUUAUACCGUACCAAUUAAACCAGACCACUAAUGCAAUCAAAUAUGCUUAGAAACCAUGUUACUCAAAUAUCAUUCAGAAUAAUAAGAGUGAUGACGAACAGUUGUGGAAGAUAAUUAAAUCUAUUCUUCCAUCAAAAGACCACGAAUGUGUCAGGGAAAUUAAAGUGAACGGCACCUGCAUUAAGGAGCCACAACCGAGUUCAAAUAUCUUGGUGUGUGAUUUGACCAGUAUCUUAGGUGGGGUACUCAAAGAACUGUUACACUGUCUGAAAGACUUGGAGUGAUGAAACGAUAGAGUUGGUAUGUGGACCAGUAUACCAGUUAUACUUCAUACAAUACUCUCAUUCCGCCUCACAGUGACUAUUGUUGUACAGUCUGUGCUCAAGCUGCCAAUAAUAUGUAAAUCGAAUUCAGGUUUUCCAAAACCGCUCGUCAGUUUAAAAAGCAAACCAAGGCACACAUCUUAAAUUCAGAUAAUUUGAAUUAUUUGCCAAACUAUGUCGUCGAACCAAUUAAUCAUAUCAUCUUAUCUUAUUACUAAUAGUGUGUGAUCCGAACACUGUGUUGUAAAGGUCUGCCAAUGGGCUCAUUUUUAUGUAUAUUUGUUUAUAGACUUUUGUAUUUUAAGUUUGAUUUAUUAAGUUUUAGUCUUUCCCGUAUUUAUGUUCUAUGUAACUUCACUGUGAAAUGUUUUUUGCUUUGCUCUUUAUGUAUAAUGGUUUUUAUAAUAAUUUAAAUUUUUACUAAUUGUAUUUAAAUUGAGGGCCUCUUUAGAAAACAGUGAUGUGCACUGAUGGACCUUAACCCCAUUAAAAACUACUUAAAUAAAAUAAAAGAAUGGCUUGGUUGCUCAUUUGCCGAAAUUGAUCAGGAAACGCUGCUCACUGUUGUAGAAAUCAAAAACAUUUACAUGUUUGAUAACUCCUUUCGAUGCA